GAGAGGUGCAAUAAACGCGUGUGACGUCAUAGGUGUGACGGCCGCUGUGAUGUGCCCAGAGCCUAGUUCUGUCGGCGGACAGCGCGGGCCUCUCCGCAGACACAAGUCAGAACGCGUCUACACUGCCGAGCCGCCCCCCGCCUUUCCCGGCGGGCCCAGAGGCCGGCUCAGCUGACUCGGCCUUUUGCGGGGCUGAAGACACCCAUGUAAAUGUUGGGGCUCAGGCGGGAGCUCGGGCUCUGAGACCCUCCCCGUUGGCGGGAGCACAAAUCUACUCGGCAAUUUGACAGCCCCGCAGUCGGCACGGGCCUGCGUCUGGUUGCUGUGUAGCCCCACCCUGCGAUUCGGCGCGGCAGGGCUCAUUUUGCUGUGUAGACGGCAGUAAGGCUGCAGCGAGCUGAGGGUGACUUGCACGAGCUAUGCCUGCGGUGCAAGGCUUGCUUGAGCAUUUGCGAGGUACGUGCCUUAUAUUUGAAGCCCCCCCCCCCCCCAUAACUGUAUCCCCUGCCCCCCGGCCGGUUCUGGGUCUGACUUCUUCCAGGCUUCACCAAAGCCGAUCUGAAAUGUUGAUGUCUUCUCCCAGGCCCCACCCAGUGUCAACAAGAAAUCACUAUGUCCGUGCCUGAGGGCAGUGACACGCAACACCCCCUUAACCUCUCGGAGCGCUUUGCCAAGCUGUCCUGGUCCCCCACUUUGGCUGGGCCAUGGGUGCAGAUAGCCAUCAUCAAGAAAGGGAAAUCAAACCUGGUCGACAGCUCCUUUGCUGGGCACAUCUCUGUGUCCAACAGAUGGUUCAUCGUGACAAACGCCAGCAAAGCCAUUGCAGGGAAUUUGAAGAUUGUGAAUGAGAUGAAUGAAAGCAAAUGUCUGGCUUCUAUCCAUCUGAAUGUAACAGAGCCUGCGCCAACCUCAGCUCCGGUCUCCCAGGUGGCCCUGGUCAGCAACUGGAUGGCAGCAGGGGAGCCCGGAUCUCAGUCCACCCAUAUUGUAGCGGUGGUGGUGGGGACAGUGGUGGCCUUUCUGGUGUUGGUGUUGGCACUGGGGCUAUGGCAGAGAAAUAAGAAAGCUCACUGCAGAGACUGGUUCCGCAGCUGUCUUGGCUUCCGUGCCAGAGCCGCCCCGUCCCAGCAGGCCGGCGACGCAAGCCCCGUGCAGGAAAUGCAGGAGCUGGCAAAGAUGACGCAGCCGGAGGAUGCCAGCGGUGGGGACCGGUCAGCCGUGAUGAGUGGGAAACUUCUCGGCAGCGCUGAAAUGAGAAACACUGCGGGACUGGAGAGUGGGGAGGGAUGAACCCCGUCCCUCAACAUCCACUCAAUUUGCAGCGGCAGUCCAAAAAGAGCCAAUAUUCAUAUAUUCAAUGUACUUGUUUGAUUCUAAGUAGCUGCAAUGAAGCAUUUGGUCAGUUUCUAGAGAAAUGACUAUUCUCAUGUGAAAGUAGAAUGAAUUAUAUUGUAAAAAUAGAAUGGAUUAAACAAAUGCUGUAUGUACCUUUAAGCAGAAAUAAGGAAUGUUGAAAUACAGGUGUCAGGAAAAGAAACAUUAAGGCAUAAACAAUGAGUCCUCUUAAGCUAAUCGUGGAACAUAAACUGGAGAUCUGUAAAAGUUAGUAAGGAAAUUGAAUAUGUAUGUCUAGCCUCAGGUAAACUUGAUAGUUCUGCUUUCUUUGUCCUCUUGUUAAGUUUGUGCCCUUUUUAUCUGUAUAAAAUAAGCUAGUGUGGGUCUUGCGUGGUGCUCACAUUAUCUGAGUGUAUUAGCAGAGCACUGUGUUAAUAAACAGAGUGGUCUAAUAAAUUGUGAGUCCUGA
Molecule: long non-coding RNA, 1804 nt
Filed under: Chrysemys picta bellii (western painted turtle)
Lineage: Eukaryota; Metazoa; Chordata; Testudines; Emydidae
Description: lncRNA (ENSCPBG00000004349.1)
Source: RNAcentral